AAGAGUGAAACUUAAAGGAAUUGACGGGAACCCGCACAAGCGGUGGAGCAUGUGGUUUAAUUUGAAGAUACGCGUAGAACCUUACCCACUCUUGACAUCUUCUGCAAAGCUAUAGAGAUAUAGUGGAGGUUAACAGAAUGACAGAUGGUGCAUGGUUGUCGUCAGCUCGUGUCGUGAGAUGUUAG
Molecule: ribosomal RNA, 185 nt
Filed under: Mesomycoplasma hyorhinis
Lineage: Bacteria; Bacillati; Mycoplasmatota; Mycoplasmoidales; Metamycoplasmataceae
Description: partial 16S ribosomal RNA
Rfam family: Bacterial small subunit ribosomal RNA
Source: RNAcentral